This 768-nucleotide long non-coding RNA is filed under the name Lupinus mutabilis. RNAcentral describes it as "partial ncRNA". The record is from RNAcentral. Lineage: Eukaryota; Viridiplantae; Streptophyta; Magnoliopsida; Fabales; Fabaceae.
AGGCUUAUAUGUCCCACCAAAGAAGCCCCACACGCUUCCCUUCAUUUCAACCAAACACUUCCCUUUCCUUUUCCUUUUUCCUUUUUCCUUUUUGCUUUCUCCCUCCUCUUCACGUUGAAGCUGUGAAACAUAAGAAAGUGAAAUUACUACAACUUCAUCAUCUUAACUGAAAACAGAUACAGUUCCAAUUCCAAUUCCACAUGUUGAAGAUGGAGCCUCACCACCACCUCUUAUCAUCUUCAAUUUCCACUACUCCUACCUUCACCUCUUACUCUUCCGAAACUCUUUCGCAAAUCGCCGCCAGAGUCAUCCACGAACUCACCACCGUCGAUGGUGAAUGGGAACCACUCAACGACAACACAAACGUAACUGACGACAAUGAUGAUUUCGAGUUCCCUUCCGUUUCAGUAAACCAUAACUCGUCUCUUGUUUCCGCUGACGAUAUUUUCUCCAACGGUCAAAUCAAACCAAUAUUUCCUCUCUCCGACGACGUCGUUUGUGUUCCCGAAACGCGUGUCCCUCCUCGUCGUUUACCUCUCAGGGAGCUCAUGUUCGAGGAAGAGCGAGGAGAGUCGUGGUCGUCUUCGUCGGAGGAGAGAAACGUGCUUAACGAACCGGUUGAGGGAAGUUAUUGCGUGUGGACCCCACCUGAGAAGAAGAAUAAUGAUAAGAAGAAGAAGAAGAAUAACUCGAUAGGUUCGUCAUCAUCGAAGCGGUGGAAGCUUCGAGAUUUGUUGCUUCGGAGUCACAGCGAAAGGAAGAAGGAAU